RNAcentral lists this ribosomal RNA (253 nucleotides) under uncultured bacterium. RNAcentral describes it as "partial 16S ribosomal RNA". It matches the Rfam family "Bacterial small subunit ribosomal RNA", at positions 524 to 776 of the family's 1533-position model. The record is from RNAcentral.
UACGUAGGGUGCAAACGUUGUUCGGAAUUACUGGGCGUAAAGCGCGUGUAGGCGGUUCGGAAAGUCGGGUGUGAAAGCCCUGGGCUUAACCCAGGAAGUGCACUCGAAACUUCCGAGCUAGAGUUCUGGAGAGGAAGGCGGAAUUCUCGGUGUAGAGGUGAAAUUCGUAGAUAUCGAGAGGAACAUCGGUGGCGAAGGCGGCCUUCUGGACAGCAACUGACGCUGAGACGCGAAAGCGUGGGGAGCAAACAGG